CCUACGGGGGACAGCAGUCGAGAAUCUUUCACAAUGGGGGAAACCCUGAUGGUGCGACGCCGCGUGGGGGAAUGAAGGUCUUCGGUUUGUAAACCCCUGUCAUGUGGGAGCAAAUUAAAAAGAUAGUACCACAAGAGGAAGAGACGGCUAACUCUGUGCCAGCUGCCGCGGUAAUACAGAGGUCUCAAGCGUUGUUCGGAAUCCCUGGGCGUAAAGGGUGCGUAGGCGUGUUCGUAAGUCGUGUGUGAAAGGCGCGGGCUCAACCCGCGGACGGCACAUGAUACUGGGAGACUAGAGUAAGGGAGGGGGAACCGGAAUUCGAGGUGUAGCAGUGAAAUGCGUAGAUAUCGAGAGGAACACUCGUGGCGAAGGCGGGUUCCUGGACAUUAACUGACGCUGAGGCACGAAGGCCAGGGGAGCGAAAGGGAUUAGAUACCCGGGUAGUC
Molecule: ribosomal RNA, 446 nt
Filed under: uncultured bacterium
Lineage: Bacteria
Description: partial 16S ribosomal RNA
Rfam family: Bacterial small subunit ribosomal RNA
Source: RNAcentral